GUGCUUACUUGGCAGUGCAUGUACUACAAUUGGAAUGCUAUAGAGAUUAUCAUGGCCCCUGCAUAAGGAAGACACAAAAAUUCUAACAUGUUUCUUACUUUA
Sciurus vulgaris (Eurasian red squirrel) is the source of this 102-nucleotide small nuclear RNA. NCBI's taxonomy places the organism in Eukaryota, Metazoa, Chordata, Mammalia, Rodentia, Sciuridae. The record is from Ensembl.